UACGAAGGGGGCUAGCGUUGUUCGGAAUUACUGGGCGUAAAGCGCACGUAGGCGGAAUGUUAAGUCAGGGGUGAAAUCCCGGGGCUCAACCCCGGAACUGCCUUUGAUACUGGCAUUCUCGAGUCCGGAAGAGGUGAGUGGAAUUCCGAGUGUAGAGGUGAAAUUCGUAGAUAUUGGGAGGAACAUCAGUAGCGAAGGCGGCUUUCUGGGUCACACCUGACGCUGAGGUACGAAAGCGUGGGGAGCAAACGGG
RNAcentral lists this ribosomal RNA (253 nucleotides) under uncultured bacterium. RNAcentral describes it as "partial 16S ribosomal RNA". It matches the Rfam family "Bacterial small subunit ribosomal RNA", at positions 524 to 776 of the family's 1533-position model. The record is from RNAcentral.